RNAcentral lists this ribosomal RNA (115 nucleotides) under Jaculus jaculus (lesser Egyptian jerboa). The record is from RNAcentral. Lineage: Eukaryota; Metazoa; Chordata; Mammalia; Rodentia; Dipodidae.
GUCUGUGGACAGACCACUCUGAAUGCACCUGAUCUAAAAAGCUAAGGUUAAGCAGGGUCAGGCCAAGUUAGUCUUUGGAUGGGAUUCUACCUGGGAAUGCUGGGUGCUAUAGGGC